RNAcentral lists this ribosomal RNA (468 nucleotides) under uncultured bacterium. Its description in RNAcentral is "partial 16S ribosomal RNA". It matches the Rfam family "Bacterial small subunit ribosomal RNA", at positions 28 to 507 of the family's 1533-position model. The record is from RNAcentral.
GACGAACGCUGGCGGCGUGCUUAACACAUGCAAGUCGAACGGAAAGGCCCUGCGCUUGUGGGGUGCUCGAGUGGCGAACGGGUGAGUAACACGCGAGUAUCCUGCCCUUGACUUUCAGAUAACUUCACGAAACUGGGGCUAAUACCGGAGAGGAGCUCCUGCUCCAUGGGGGGGGUUGGAAAGUUUCGGCGGUGGUGGAUGGUCUGGCGGCUUACCAGCUUGUUGGUCGGGUAGGGGAUUACCAAGGCUUUGAGGGGUAGCCGGCCUGGGCGGGUGGACGGGCACCUGGGUCCUGAGAUACGGACCAGUCGGCUACGGGCGGCAACGGGGGAGAAUAUUACACAGCGGGCCCGAGCGUGUGGUGGCAACGCCGCGUGCGUAAUGACGGGCUUCGGGGUGUGAACCGCUUUCGCCUGUGCCGAAGCCAGAGUGACGGUAAUGGGUAAAGAAGCACCGGCUAACUACGUG